UCGUGGCACGAACCGGUACUAAAGGUCUCAACCCCAUUAGUACCGGUUCGUGCCACGAACCGGUACUAAUGGGGUUGAGACCUUUAGUACCGGUUCGUGCCACGAA
Triticum aestivum (bread wheat) is the source of this 106-nucleotide non-coding RNA. The record is from Rfam. NCBI's taxonomy places the organism in Eukaryota, Viridiplantae, Streptophyta, Magnoliopsida, Poales, Poaceae.